CUUGUACACACCGCCCGUCACACCAUGGGAGUGGGUUGCAAAAGAAGUAGGUAGCUUAACCUUCGGGAGGGCGCUUACCACUUUGUGAUUCAUGACUGGGGUGAAGUCGUAACAAGGUAACCGUAGGGGAACCUGCGGUUGGAUCACCUCCUUA
This 154-nucleotide ribosomal RNA is filed under the name Escherichia coli. RNAcentral describes it as "partial 16S ribosomal RNA". It matches the Rfam family "Bacterial small subunit ribosomal RNA", at positions 1380 to 1533 of the family's 1533-position model. The record is from RNAcentral. RNAcentral also lists the same sequence under 4 other names. Lineage: Bacteria; Pseudomonadati; Pseudomonadota; Gammaproteobacteria; Enterobacterales; Enterobacteriaceae.